This 226-nucleotide ribosomal RNA is filed under the name uncultured bacterium. RNAcentral describes it as "partial 16S ribosomal RNA". It matches the Rfam family "Bacterial small subunit ribosomal RNA", at positions 15 to 231 of the family's 1533-position model. The record is from RNAcentral.
GAUCAUGGCUCAGGAUGAACGCUAGCUACAGGCUUAACACAUGCAAGUCGAGGGGCAGCAUGGUCUUAGCUUGCUAAGACUGAUGGCGACCGGCGCACGGGUGAGUAACACGUAUCCAACCUGCCGUCUACGUCUUGGACAGCCUUCUGAAAGGAAGAUUAAUACAAGAUGGCAUCAUGAGUCCGCAUGUUCAUAUGAUUAAAGGUAUUCCGGUAGACGAUGGGGA